GCAGUUUCUGGAAAGGAUGUCACAGAAGAUGAAGCGCAAAUGCAGGAGAGUGACAGUGGAACAACGGACACCAAUGAAGCAUGCAGUCCUUCUAAUCCUACCUGCUCUGGCCUUGAGGAAUCUUCCAAGGAUGCUCUGGAGCUAUUUACU
Molecule: long non-coding RNA, 150 nt
Organism: Mobula hypostoma (lesser devil ray)
Lineage: Eukaryota; Metazoa; Chordata; Chondrichthyes; Myliobatiformes; Myliobatidae
Exons: 4
Source: RefSeq, a predicted model, not a curated record